RNAcentral lists this ribosomal RNA (1372 nucleotides) under uncultured bacterium. RNAcentral's name for it is "bacterial SSU rRNA". It matches the Rfam family "Bacterial small subunit ribosomal RNA", at positions 28 to 1381 of the family's 1533-position model. The record is from RNAcentral.
GAUGAACGCUGGCGGCGUGCCUAAUACAUGCAAGUCGAGCGAACGGACGAGAAGCUUGCUUCUCUGAUGUUAGCGGCGGACGGGUGAGUAACACGUGGAUAACCUACCCAUAAGACUGGGAUAACUUCGGGAAACCGGAGCUAAUACCGGAUAAUAUUUUGAACCGCAUGGUUCAAAAGUGAAAGACGGUCUUGCUGUCACUUAUAGAUGGAUCCGCGCUGCAUUAGCUAGUUGGUAAGGUAACGGCUUACCAAGGCAACGAUGCAUAGCCGACCUGAGAGGGUGAUCGGCCACACUGGAACUGAGACACGGUCCAGACUCCUACGGGAGGCAGCAGUAGGGAAUCUUCCGCAAUGGGCGAAAGCCUGACGGAGCAACGCCGCGUGAGUGAUGAAGGUCUUCGGAUCGUAAAACUCUGUUAUUAGGGAAGAACAUAUGUGUAAGUAACUGUGCACAUCUUGACGGUACCUAAUCAGAAAGCCACGGCUAACUACGUGCCAGCAGCCGCGGUAAUACGUAGGUGGCAAGCGUUAUCCGGAAUUAUUGGGCGUAAAGCGCGCGUAGGCGGUUUUUUAAGUCUGAUGUGAAAGCCCACGGCUCAACCGUGGAGGGUCAUUGGAAACUGGAAAACUUGAGUGCAGAAGAGGAAAGUGGAAUUCCAUGUGUAGCGGUGAAAUGCGCAGAGAUAUGGAGGAACACCAGUGGCGAAGGCGACUUUCUGGUCUGCAACUGACGCUGAUGUGCGAAAGCGUGGGGAUCAAACAGGAUUAGAUACCCUGGUAGUCCACGCCGUAAACGAUGAGUGCUAAGUGUUAGGGGGUUUCCGCCCCUUAGUGCUGCAGCUAACGCAUUAAGCACUCCGCCUGGGGAGUACGACCGCAAGGUUGAAACUCAAAGGAAUUGACGGGGACCCGCACAAGCGGUGGAGCAUGUGGUUUAAUUCGAAGCAACGCGAAGAACCUUACCAAAUCUUGACAUCCUUUGACAACUCUAGAGAUAGAGCCUUCCCCUUCGGGGGACAAAGUGACAGGUGGUGCAUGGUUGUCGUCAGCUCGUGUCGUGAGAUGUUGGGUUAAGUCCCGCAACGAGCGCAACCCUUAAGCUUAGUUGCCAUCAUUAAGUUGGGCACUCUAAGUUGACUGCCGGUGACAAACCGGAGGAAGGUGGGGAUGACGUCAAAUCAUCAUGCCCCUUAUGAUUUGGGCUACACACGUGCUACAAUGGACAAUACAAAGGGCAGCGAAACCGCGAGGUCAAGCAAAUCCCAUAAAGUUGUUCUCAGUUCGGAUUGUAGUCUGCAACUCGACUACAUGAAGCUGGAAUCGCUAGUAAUCGUAGAUCAGCAUGCUACGGUGAAUACGUUCCCGGGUCU